This 483-nucleotide ribosomal RNA is filed under the name uncultured bacterium. RNAcentral's name for it is "partial 16S ribosomal RNA". It matches the Rfam family "Bacterial small subunit ribosomal RNA", at positions 36 to 507 of the family's 1533-position model. The record is from RNAcentral.
GCCUCCCUCUUUCUUCGUGCUUAACACAUGCAAGUCGAACGCUGAAGCUCAGCUUUUGUUGGGUGGAUGAGUGGCGAACGGGUGAGUAACACGUGAGUAACCUGCCUCCUACUUUGGGAUAACGCCCGGAAACGGGUGCUAAUACUGGAUAUUCACUGGUCUUCGCAUGGGGGUUGGUGGAAAGGGUUUUUCUGGUGGGGGAUGGGCUCGCGGCCUAUCAGCUUGUUGGUGGGGUGAUGGCCUACCAAGGCUUUGACGGGUAGCCGGCCUGAGAGGGUGACCGGUCACAUUGGGACUGAGAUACGGCCCAGACUCCUACGGGAGGCAGCAGUGGGGAAUAUUGCACAAUGGGCGCAAGCCUGAUGCAGCGACGCAGCGUGAGGGAUGGAGGCCUUCGGGUUGUGAACCUCUUUCGCUCAUGGUCAAGCCGCAACAAUGGUUGUGGUGAGGGUAGUGGGUAAAGAAGCGCCGGCUAACUACGUG